Non-coding RNA from Ictidomys tridecemlineatus (thirteen-lined ground squirrel), 451 nucleotides. NCBI's taxonomy places the organism in Eukaryota, Metazoa, Chordata, Mammalia, Rodentia, Sciuridae. The record is from RefSeq and is a predicted model, not a curated record.
CACUGGGCCUGUGGGCCACCCAGUAUCGAGGUGCUCAGAGCAUUCAAACAGGGAACACCAACAUCUGAUUUAAAAGGUCACACUGUCUGCCAAGGGACUUGGGAAAGAGGAAAGGAAAUGGUGCAGAGUGGGGGACCUGGUGCUGUUCCCAGAGGCUGAGCAGGUGGGGGAAGAGACAGACCUAACAGGAGCUGAGGACAAGAACAGAAGGGAAGAGAGAUCUUGAAAAGGGAAGGCAGGCGGCACUCACCCCAGCAUGGAUGACCUGUCCGCAGCCCAGGAGCUGGAACUUCAGAGUCACACCACACCUGUGUGCUCUGCCUGGACCACCCACCCCCCAGAGGUGAUGUCACCUUUCCAUGACUCCGUUUCCUCACCUAUAAUGUGGGGAUGGUGGGAGUGCCCAUCUCAAAGGCUUGAGGGUGAGGAUUAAAUGUGGCAAUGCACAGAA